CAGGGCCCAGUAUAUUUCCGCUUUCAUUACUUCCUCUGUAGAAACAGUGUCAUCCAAAGUUUUCGAUAGCUGUUUGGAUACACUACCAGUAACUGGAGACCAACUUUGAAACCAUUCAGGUAUGUUCAAACUUUUUAAUUUAGUUGAGAGCUUGAUGUGUUUGGAGCUCUUACAGUGGCUUUUCAAUGCAGAUUCUCCCAUGUUUGAAACGUCAAACUCUUUCAGACAAAGGCUGCAUUUAGCCUUUGAAUCGUUACUCCCCCUCACAAGCCAUUUGUUGUACUCUGGUUUUUUCAACC
RNAcentral lists this long non-coding RNA (299 nucleotides) under Mytilus galloprovincialis (Mediterranean mussel). Lineage: Eukaryota; Metazoa; Mollusca; Bivalvia; Mytilida; Mytilidae. The record is from RNAcentral.